CCUGGAGUCCUCGCUCGGUCAGUGCCCUGAGCUCUCCGUCUGAUUUUUAAAAACUGGCACAGCUGCUUUUAAACACCGGCACAUUUUUGGUGGCACAAGGGCCACCAAACAGGACCCAAAGUACAGGUCCUUAACUUCCAAGAUCCCGAAGUGGACAUGCACAGAUUUGCGCUCUCUGGAAAGGGGAACUGCAAGCCCAAGCUCGGGCGCGCCGCGCUUCCCACCGGACACCCACCCGGCCGAGCCCGGCCACUCCUCGCACCCACCCGGGCGGUUUCACCCGCCCCGCCAGCCCCACCCACGGGCUGCGGGCGGCCCCGCAGGACAACCCUCACAGAGGGCGGCAGAGGCCCGGCCCAGCCAGGCCAUGUCCCUAGUCUCUGGCUUGCGGCUGAUUUUUAAAUUUUUUGUAGAGGCCGGAUCUUGCUCUGUUGCCCAGGCUGGUCUCGAACUUGUGGCCUCAAGCGAUCCUCCCUCCUGGGUCUCCCGAAGUGCGGGGAUUACAGACAGAGCCACUGCGCACGGCCGUGGUCAGCUUUGAAAGCUGGGUAGAUCCCUUUGGCUUAUACGCCUUUCUGCUAGCUUACCCUGAUUCUGCUUCUGGUUCAGAUAGUAUUUUAAUAUUUCUAGUGUGUCUUUUUGUAAGAUACCUGAAAUCUUUUUGUGGAAUGAAGUGGCAUGAAAAAUAAACCAAUAAUCAUUAGUAAGUAUGUUUCCUGUCUUUUCACUUUAUUAAAAUCUUCGUCUUGUGCAUCAUGUUUAACAAUUUUAUUUUAAUAAAUUUGCAAGGGUUCAGUCCCAUUUUAUUGAUAUUUGGGUUGUUUCCCAUUUUUGCUCUAGAACAUCAGCUCCUCUCCGGGUCUGCAGCUGCACGACCCUCAAUCUAGAACAUCAGCUCCUCCCCGGGUCUUCAGCUGCAUGACCCUCAAACUAGAACAUCAGCUCCUCUCCAGGUCUGCAGCUGCACGACCCUCAAUCUAGAACAUCAGCUCCUCCCCGGGUCUUCAGCUGCACGACCCUCAAACUAGAACAUCAGCUCCUCUCCAGGUCUGCAGCUGCACGACCCUCAAUCUAGAACAUCAGCUCCUCCCCGGGUCUUCAGCUGCAUGACCCUCAAACUAGAACAUCAGCUCCUCUCCAGGUCUGCAGCUGCACGACCCUCAAUCUAGAACAUCAGCUCCUCUCCGGGUCUGCAGCUGCAUGACCCUCAAACUAGAACAUCAGCUCCUCCCCGGGUCUUCAGCUGCAUGACCCUCAAUCUAGAACAUCAGCUCCUCUCCAGGUCUGCAGCUGCACGACCCUCAAUCUAGAACAUCAGCUCCUCUCCGGGUCUGCAGCUGCAUGACCCUCAAACUAGAACAUCAGCUCCUCCCCGGGUCUUCAGCUGCAUGACCCUCAAUCUAGAACAUCAGCUCCUCUCCAGGUCUGCAGCUGCACGACCCUCAAUCUAGAACAUCAGCUCCUCUCCGGGUCUGCAGCUGCAUGACCCUCAAACUAGAACAUCAGCUCCUCCCCGGGUCUUCAGCUGCAUGACCCUCAAACUAGAACAUCAGCUCCUCUCCAGGUCUGCAGCUGCACGACCCUCAAUCUAGAACAUCAGCUCCUCUCCGGGUCUGCAUCUGCACGACCCUCAAAUGAGAACAUCAGCUCCUCCCCGGGUUUGCAGGUGCACGACACUCAAUCUAGAACAUCAGCUCCUCUCCGGGUCUGCAGGUGCACGACCCUCAAUCUAGAACAUCAGCUCCUCUCCAGGUCUGCAGCUGCACGACCCUCAAUCUAGAACAUCAGCUCCUCUCCGGGUCUGCAGCUGCAUGACCCUCAAACUAGA
This 1828-nucleotide long non-coding RNA is filed under the name Homo sapiens (human). RNAcentral's name for it is "non-protein coding lnc-FYTTD1-6:1". The record is from RNAcentral. Lineage: Eukaryota; Metazoa; Chordata; Mammalia; Primates; Hominidae.